This 468-nucleotide ribosomal RNA is filed under the name uncultured bacterium. RNAcentral's name for it is "partial 16S ribosomal RNA". It matches the Rfam family "Bacterial small subunit ribosomal RNA", at positions 28 to 507 of the family's 1533-position model. The record is from RNAcentral.
GACGAACGCUGGCGGCGUGCUUAACACAUGCAAGUCGAACGGAAAGGCCCUGCUUUUGUUGGGUUCUCGAUUGGCGAACGGGUGAGUAACACGUGAGUAACCUGCCCUUGACUUUGGGAUAACUUCAGGAAACUGGGGCUAAUACCGGAUAGGAGCUCCUGCUGCAUGGUGGGCGUUGGAAAGUUUUGGCUGUUGGGGAUGGACUCGCGGCUUAUCAGCUUGUUGGUGGGGUAGUGGCUUACAAAGGCUUUGACGGGUAGCCGGCCUGAGAGGGUGACCAGCCACAUUGGGACUGCGGUACGGCCCAGACUCCUACGGGAGGCAGCAGUGGGGAAUAUUGCACAAUGGGCGGAAGCCUGAUGCAGCAACGCCGCGUGCGGGAAGACGGCCUUCGGGUUGUAAACCGCUUUCGCCUGUGACGAAGCGUGAGUGACGGUAAUGGGUAAAGAAGCACCGGCUAACUACGUG